Molecule: ribosomal RNA, 560 nt
Filed under: Serratia sp. C9-7
Lineage: Bacteria; Pseudomonadati; Pseudomonadota; Gammaproteobacteria; Enterobacterales; Yersiniaceae
Description: bacterial SSU rRNA
Rfam family: Bacterial small subunit ribosomal RNA
Source: RNAcentral
AGGGGGAUAACUACUGGAAACGGUAGCUAAUACCGCAUAACGUCUUCGGACCAAAGUGGGGGACCUUCGGGCCUCAUGCCAUCAGAUGUGCCCAGAUGGGAUUAGCUAGUAGGUGGGGUAAUGGCUCACCUAGGCGACGAUCCCUAGCUGGUCUGAGAGGAUGACCAGCCACACUGGAACUGAGACACGGUCCAGACUCCUACGGGAGGCAGCAGUGGGGAAUAUUGCACAAUGGGCGCAAGCCUGAUGCAGCCAUGCCGCGUGUGUGAAGAAGGCCUUCGGGUUGUAAAGCACUUUCAGCGAGGAGGAAGGGUUCAGUGUUAAUAGCACUGUGCAUUGACGUUACUCGCAGAAGAAGCACCGGCUAACUCCGUGCCAGCAGCCGCGGUAAUACGGAGGGUGCAAGCGUUAAUCGGAAUUACUGGGCGUAAAGCGCACGCAGGCGGUUUGUUAAGUCAGAUGUGAAAUCCCCGCGCUUAACGUGGGAACUGCAUUUGAAACUGGCAAGCUAGAGUCUUGUAGAGGGGGGUAGAAUUCCAGGUGUAGCGGUGAAAUGCGUA